Molecule: long non-coding RNA, 1947 nt
Organism: Nerophis ophidion (straightnose pipefish)
Lineage: Eukaryota; Metazoa; Chordata; Actinopteri; Syngnathiformes; Syngnathidae
Exons: 2
Source: RefSeq, a predicted model, not a curated record
UGAAUGUAACUUAGAUAUUGGGUUUCACUAUGUAAAGCGCUUUGAGUCACUUGAGAAAAGCGCUAUAUAAAUAUAAUUCAUUUCACUUCACUUCACUGUAAUGAUACCAAGUACAGGAGCUACUCAGAUACUACUAUGAUUACAUUGAUAUUUUUUAGUAUCACGAAAUCUUUUUUGGUUUUAAAAAAAUGUAUACCAUGUUUAUAAACUCAGGCAAUUUGUCCCCGGACACAUGAGGACUUUGAAUAUGACCAAUGUAUGAUCCUGUAACGACUUGGUAUCGGAUCGAUACCCAAAUUUGUGGUAUCAUCCAAAACUAAAUUAAAGUAUCCAAACAACCGAAGAAUAAAUGAUUAUUCCAUUUUAACAGAAAUGUAGAAAGAACAUGUUAAAAGAGAAAGUAAGCAGAUAUUAACAUUAAAUGAACAAGUAGAUGAAUAAUUAAUUUUCUACCACUUGUCCUUAAUACUUUUGACAAAAUAAUAGAAUGAUAAAUGACACAAUAUGUUACUGCAUGCUUCAGCAGUUAAAUUAGGAGCCUUUCUUUGCUUACUUACUACUAAAAGACAAGUUGUCUUGUAUGUUCACUAUUUCAUUUAAAGACAAAAUUUCAAUAACAGAUGUUUAAUGUAGCCAAUAAUGCAAUUUUUUGUGUGUUCCCCUUUAUUUAGAAAAGUAUCGAAAAGUAGCAAAUUGUAUCAAACUACAUUUUGGUACAGGUACCAGUAAUAUUGGUUCACUAGUGUGUACACUUUUUUUUCUUUGCACUUUGCAAUUGGAUAUUUUAUACAGCAACACUCGAGGUCACAAGUGUGGAACCUAAGGCGCAGGGGCCAGAUGUGGCCCGCCACAUCAUUUUAAAGCCUGGUCUUUUCUUACUAAAUAUAUUCAACUUUCCAUUAUGACAGCAAAAAAAUGUAUGUACUACAAGCAAAUUCAUAUCUUUUGAACUUGAUCUACAUUCCAAACUCUUUUGAUGCAAGCAAAAUAAGUACUUAAAUAUCUGGUUGGCUCAUGAUCUUAAAGCAAAUUAUCCAUUAAAUUGUGCACUGUAAUAAUUUAUUUUUACGGUAAACAAAAACCCUUGUAGCUCAGUAGACAAAAUGUUACUGUAAAUAAAAUAAAAACCUCUGGUAUCAUUUUUUCCAUUUACAGUAACACACCAUGAAAAACAACAACCGUAGUGUCACACCACGGCGAGAGAUGUCUUGUCUUGGUUUUUUCUGUCUUGUGAAUUGCAUGUUUUAGUUUGAAAAGUAACUCUCCUCACGUUUUAGGUCACUUGCCCUUCCUUUUGUGUCAUCAGUCUGACGCCAUCCCUGAUUACUGAUUGUUUCCACCUGUUUCCCAAUACCCUCAUGUGUCUUAUAAGCCCACGCCUCCCUUUGUUCUGUGCCAGAUUGUCUCGUUUGUUCGUGCUCUCUAGCGUCCUGUCCAAGCCUUGCCUCGUCUGUUGUUUGAAUAUCUUGAUCCUGAAUUCCCUUGUUGAUAUUUUGAGUUUUCUUUUUCUCCUCCUCAACAGAGUGAUUUUGGUGAUUUAAUUUUGCAGCCGAAGUGAUUAUUGUGGAGAGGCGGAGCCGACGGGCCCGACAGUGGGAUAGGACCAAUUGUGGUCCUACCCAAGAUGGCGGCCAGGAGGCGGAGUAUCCAGCGGAACGGAGAGGCAGGGGCGCGCCUGUAACGCCGCUGCAGCGAUCAGAACCAGGUGCGUAAUUCACACACCUGCUCUCAAUCUGUGCAUCUCCUCCUGCUGUAUAAAAAGGGGAGAAGGAGGAGCAAUCGGGGCAGAAGAAGUAGGAGAACCACCAAACGAACGAUACGAAGACGGAGUCACCGGCGACCGAAAGGCCCGCCGAGUCGAGCCGGAGAGGAGGAAGCGCUGGAAAUCGGCGCGACCAACUGGGACACAAACUGGUUUAUUGAAAGAAUAAACGAGAGUCAAACCUG